Molecule: ribosomal RNA, 468 nt
Filed under: uncultured bacterium
Lineage: Bacteria
Description: partial 16S ribosomal RNA
Rfam family: Bacterial small subunit ribosomal RNA
Source: RNAcentral
GACGAACGCUGGCGGCGUGCUUAACACAUGCAAGUCGAACGGAAAGGCCCUGCUUUUGUGGGGUGCUCGAGUGGCGAACGGGUGAGUAACACGUGAGUAACCUGCCCUUGACUUUGGGAUAACUUCAGGAAACUGGGGCUAAUACCGGAUAGGAGCUCCUGCUGCAUGGUGGGGGUUGGAAAGUUUCGGCGGUUGGGGAUGGACUCGCGGCUUAUCAGCUUGUUGGUGGGGUAGUGGCUUACCAAGGCUUUGACGGGUAGCCGGCCUGAGAGGGUGACCGGCCACAUUGGGACUGAGAUACGGCCCAGACUCCUACGGGAGGCAGCAGUGGGGAAUAUUGCACAAUGGGCGGAAGCCUGAUGCAGCAACGCCGCGUGCGGGAUGACGGCCUUCGGGUUGUAAACCGCUUUCGCCUGUGACGAAGCGUGAGUGACGGUAAUGGGUAAAGAAGCACCAGCCAACUACGUG